AGUUUUUAAGCUUUAAGCAUUAUAUCUUGAAAAUAUAAUAAAGAUUUUUAAUCUAUUAACUU
Molecule: transfer RNA, 62 nt
Filed under: Iolania perkinsi
Lineage: Eukaryota; Metazoa; Arthropoda; Insecta; Hemiptera; Cixiidae
Description: tRNA-Ser
Source: RNAcentral